This 66-nucleotide ribosomal RNA is filed under the name Cebus imitator (Panamanian white-faced capuchin). The record is from RNAcentral. Lineage: Eukaryota; Metazoa; Chordata; Mammalia; Primates; Cebidae.
GACUGCAGUAGGGCCUGAUUAGUACUUGGAUGGGAGACCGCCUGGGAAUACCAGGUGCUGUAGGCU